AAUGGAAUAGGACCCUGUCCUCCUAUUUUCAGUUGGUUUGCCGCGAGGACCAGGGUAAUGAUUAAUAGGGAUAGUUGGGGGCAUUAAUAUUUAAUUGUCAGAGGUGAAAUUCUUGGAUUUAUGAAAGAUUAACUUCUGCGAAAGCAUCUGCCAAGGAUGUUUUCAUUAAUCAAGAACGAAAGUUAGGGGAUCGAAGACGAUCAGAUACCGUCGUAGUCUUAACCAUAAACGAUGCCGACCAGCGAUUAGGAGACGUUGAAUACAAAACACCACCAUGCGCAUUGCGGUCGUCUUUGGUGUCGCUCACAAGGCGGCACCGGGGCGGCUUAGCUCGCAUGGCACCGGUG
RNAcentral lists this ribosomal RNA (347 nucleotides) under Acanthamoeba genotype T3. RNAcentral describes it as "SSU rRNA". The stretch from base 1 to 302 matches the Rfam family "Eukaryotic small subunit ribosomal RNA", at positions 808 to 1116 of the family's 1831-position model. Lineage: Eukaryota; Discosea; Longamoebia; Acanthamoebidae. The record is from RNAcentral.